AGGGGUACAGUUCAAUGGUAGAGUACUUGCCUACCACACAUGAGACCCUAGGUUUGAUCCCUAAUACCACAA
RNAcentral lists this transfer RNA (72 nucleotides) under Marmota marmota marmota (Alpine marmot). It matches the Rfam family "tRNA". From Rfam's summary of the family: Transfer RNA (tRNA) molecules are approximately 80 nucleotides in length. Their secondary structure includes four short double-helical elements and three loops (D, anti-codon, and T loops). Lineage: Eukaryota; Metazoa; Chordata; Mammalia; Rodentia; Sciuridae. RNAcentral also lists the same sequence under 1 other name. The record is from Rfam by way of RNAcentral.